This 433-nucleotide ribosomal RNA is filed under the name uncultured bacterium. Its description in RNAcentral is "partial 16S ribosomal RNA". It matches the Rfam family "Bacterial small subunit ribosomal RNA", at positions 29 to 507 of the family's 1533-position model. The record is from RNAcentral.
AACGAACGCUGGCGGCAUGCCUAACACAUGCAAGUCGAACGAGACCUUCGGGUCUAGUGGCGCACGGGUGCGUAACGCGUGGGAACCUGCACUUAGGUUCGGAAUAACUCCCCGAAAGGGGUGCUAAUACCGGAUAAUGUCUUAGGACCAAAGAUUUAUUGCCUUUGGAUGGGCCCGCGUUGGAUUCGCUAGUUGGUAGGGUAAAAGCCUACCAAGGCGACGAUCCAUAACUGGUCUGAGAGGAUGAUCAGCCACACUGGGACUGAGACACGGCCCAGACUCCGACGGGAGGCAGCAGUGGGGAAUAUUGGACAAUGGGCGAAAGCCUGAUCCAGCAAUGCCGCGUGAGUGAUGAAGGCCUUAGGGUUGUAAAGCUCUUUUACCCGAGAUGAUAAUGACAGUACCGGGAGAAUAAGCUCCGGCUAACUCCGUG